Molecule: ribosomal RNA, 560 nt
Filed under: uncultured bacterium
Lineage: Bacteria
Description: partial 16S ribosomal RNA
Rfam family: Bacterial small subunit ribosomal RNA
Source: RNAcentral
UGGGGAAUAUUGGACAAUGGGCGCAAGCCUGAUCCAGCAAUGCCGCGUGAGUGAUGAAGGCCUUAGGGUUGUAAAGCUCUUUCGCACGCGACGAUGAUGACGGUAGCGUGAGAAGAAGCCCCGGCUAACUUCGUGCCAGCAGCCGCGGUAAUACGAAGGGGGCUAGCGUUGUUCGGAAUUACUGGGCGUAAAGGGCGCGUAGGCGGCCUGUUUAGUCAGAAGUGAAAGCCCCGGGCUCAACCUGGGAAUAGCUUUUGAUACUGGCAGGCUUGAGUUCCGGAGAGGAUGGUGGAAUUCCCAGUGUAGAGGUGAAAUUCGUAGAUAUUGGGAAGAACACCGGUGGCGAAGGCGGCCAUCUGGACGGACACUGACGCUGAGGCGCGAAAGCGUGGGGAGCAAACAGGAUUAGAUACCCUGGUAGUCCACGCCGUAAAACGAUGAAUGCUAGACGUCGGGGUGCAUGCACUUCGGUGUCGCCGCUAACGCAUUAAGCAUUCCGCCUGGGGAGUACGGCCGCAAGGUUAAAACUUAAAGGAAUUGACGGGGUCAUAGUGUUUCCU